RNAcentral lists this ribosomal RNA (321 nucleotides) under uncultured bacterium. RNAcentral describes it as "bacterial SSU rRNA". It matches the Rfam family "Bacterial small subunit ribosomal RNA", at positions 84 to 422 of the family's 1533-position model. The record is from RNAcentral.
UACGGGUGUCAGUGGCAGACGGGUGAGUAACACGUGGGAACGUGCCCUUUGGUUCGGAACAACUCCGGGAAACUGGAGCUAAUACCGGAUAAGCCCUUCGGGGGAAAGAUUUAUCGCCAAAGGAUCGGCCCGCGUCUGAUUAGCUAGUUGGUGAGGUAAUGGCUCACCAAGGCGACGAUCAGUAGCUGGUCUGAGAGGAUGAUCAGCCACACUGGGACUGAGACACGGCCCAGACUCCUACGGGAGGCAGCAGUGGGGAAUAUUGGACAAUGGGCGAAAGCCUGAUCCAGCCAUGCCGCGUGAGUGAUGAAGGCCUUAGGG